UCUGUCCCUCCCCUGCUCAUGCUCUGUCUCUUUCUCAAAAAUAAAUAAACAUUAAAAAUUGUUUUAAAAGGAAUGAGUAUUUAUGAGAUUCAGAUUUCUAAAAACGGCAUCACUGGGUCCAAAGACACUCGCUGUAUAUCUAACUUGGAUUUUUCCUUUAAACUUGAAACCGACAUUUCCAAGCAAGUGCCCGUGGAUGCUUCCAAGAUGGUGAUCAGGCUAUUUCCAGGGCUGGAGUCCUCAGGGACCUCUUUUCAUGUUUGGCCAUUUCUGGUUGGCUCUCAUCCAGCUGCUGCCUGCCUGCUGCACUCCAGGCCAACUGGGAGCAGCAUUCUACAGGAUCAAGGAUCACAGGAACACCCAAUCCUUGGCCCUGGUCCCCUAGAAGCUCCAGGCCUUCACUGGUGUCCAAUGGGCCUGAGGGGCAAAAUCAGGCCCAGGAAGAUGGAUUUCCCCGGUCCCCUCAGCCCCAACCCAGCAGGGGAGGGAGAAGACUGCUUCAUUAUGUUUAAUGGGAUUAUUGGGGGGGAUAGUAGUCAUGGGGCAUUAGCUGCUAAUUGGGUCCAUAAUAAAGUUAAUAAAGCUCUUA
This is a long non-coding RNA of Herpailurus yagouaroundi (jaguarundi), 589 nucleotides long. RefSeq lists it as uncharacterized. The transcript has 3 exons. Lineage: Eukaryota; Metazoa; Chordata; Mammalia; Carnivora; Felidae. The record is from RefSeq and is a predicted model, not a curated record.